Equus asinus (donkey) is the source of this 3679-nucleotide long non-coding RNA. The record is from Ensembl. Lineage: Eukaryota; Metazoa; Chordata; Mammalia; Perissodactyla; Equidae.
CCGGCCUCCGCGGGCCGCCGCGCUGAGGGACCCUUCCAGCAGCCAAUCGGAGCGCGCGUCUCGAGCCCAAGGGGCGGGGCCGCCCGGCGCCCCCGCGCUGGAGGUCACGGCGCGGCGGGGCGCGGCCAUGGCCCGGCGCGCCGCGGGGGAGGUUCUCCGCUUGUCGCCCGAGAGGCCCGGGAAGAUCUCCCCCCAGAGGCGGCCCCGGCCCGGGAGGCGCUCAUCUCCGCCUGGACCGCUUCGUCCUGCAUCCCUUUCUCUUCCUGUUACCCUGGGGUCCCCUGGGUCCCUGCCUGCCUCUUCGCGCUCCGAAAGCCGAGUUUCGCAGAUACUCAGCUCGGAGGAGGACGUUCUGCCGGGAAGUAGGUGCUUUCUUGUUAAGCGGCGGUCGAUCGAUGGGAGGGGCCAGAAGUCGCUAGGUGUCCGGACAAGAUUGUCACUGUCGCUGAGAUCGUCAGCUCUAGUGCUUGGAGGCGGGUGACUUCCUGCAAGCUUAGAACUUUGGGAUUACUUCCGAGCUUGAAGGCCCGGUGUGCAUCAGCUGUGCUAGGUGGUGUGCCCGUCUCAGAGCGCUGUGUCCUGGAGGGCUUAAAUCUUCGUUCUUCAUGUUUAGUCUGCAAGUUCCGUACUUUGUGAGUAUGCAUUAUGUAUUCAUUAUGUAAUCUGUUAGCAGGACGAAAAGGAAUUUACAUGGAUGGGAUAAUGUGCUACUGACCUAUGAUCGUAGGGCCUGUGCUUGAAGUCGCUGUCCGCCCACUGUCUCUAGGUUGGUUCCCUUUGUGACCAGCGCGGCAGUCUGACCUGCAGCUGCUUGGUCAAGAAUGUGAUGUCUGCUGCUCCACAGAAACACGUUUCUCUUGGAGGGACCUCCGUUUCUCUGCUUUCACCACUGUUCUUUUAGAAGUUUUUGUUUUCACCCUAUUCAUUUAACUACACUUUUGUCACCUUUGGACUCUCAUAAACUCAGAAACCUGUUUGCCCAGUUUAGUACAUGGUUAUUUUUUCCUUCGCCCUUGACUUGUAAUCAUAUUGCUGUGAGCUGAUAAAUACUUGGAACUAUAUGUACUUUUUACAUGCUUAAAUUGUUACAGAAAGUAGCACCAUACAGAGAGGUUGGGGUGGCAGUGCAGCCUGUCAGAGCUUUUGGGUUCAUGGUGUGUUGAUACAUAUCAUGGUAGGUUGAUACAUACCUGAUCGUGGCUCAUUUGUCUAAGAUCAGGACAGGUCAGGUGGCCAAUCUGACAGGCCAUAAAUUACAAUUCAGAAACUUUUCUACCAUCUUCUGAAGUGCACAUAUAAAAGGAUAUAAAUAACAGACUAUUCAGAUAAUUUGGUCAUCAGUGAAUCUUUUUAGUAAAAAUAUACCCAGAGUCUGUAUCCUUUUAGCAAAUGUUUACUGAGCCCUUACCAUGUGCUAAUGGUCAUAAUGCUAAGUUUUAAGUAUACAGUGGCAAUCUAAAUGAACAUGAUCCCGGCCUCAUGGAAUAGAUUAUAUUACAUUCUCUCUCUCUCCCUCUCUCUCUCUCUAUAUAUAUAUUCAGUCUCUGAUAUGAGUUAUGAAGGAAAUAAAGAGUUCUACAGCAGAAGUGGAAGCAGCUACUUUAAAUAGAAUAGUCAGAAAAGGAAUGAGAAGUGAAAAGAAAAGCAUUCUAGCCAGAAUAGCUUGUGCAAAGGCCCUGAGGCAGGAAAGAGCCACGCUUAUUCAAGGAAUAAGAAGGACAUCAAGUUCCUUGAGGAAAAGAUUGUUCUGUUUUGUCUAGAACAAUGUGUGUUAUGUAAUAGGCACUACAGAAGUAUUUGCAUAUGGCUGGAUGAAUGUAUACCUAGGAUUUAUUUAGCAAGUACAAGUUGAGGUUGGAGAAGUAGGCAAGGACUGGACCAUGCCACGCUGUGUUAAAAACGAGGGGAUCUAAUUACGUUUUAUAAAGAUCACUCACAACAGUGUGGGGAAUUGUUUAGUGAGGAGCAAAAACAGAAGGAGGAAAACCCAGGUAUGUGGCGCAGGGAGGUGGAGAAAAGUGGACCAAAGAAAUCCCUAAAUAACUGCAUGUUAGAGCCGAGGCCAGUGGGUUUAACUUCUUGCCCGUUUCACCUCUUAGCAGCUCAGCAAAGUGACUGUCCCACUUAUCUUCCUACCCCUAGGACUGGCGCAGCCCCGCCCCCAGACCAAGCCUGGAAGGAAAUUCGCCUUUGGCUAAGAAUUCAGUCAAGCCCUUGAAGACAGUGAUUUCCGAGUUCCUCAUGGGUCUUCCUGUAAUUAAGGGAGUGGCCGUCUUAAAUGGAGUCACAGGGAGAGGAAGAGUGUGGGAUCUUCUACCAGAGAAAUGACUUGGUCUUGAAAGGAAGUCCAUGAGGUGGGGACAGUCAAGGCAGAGACCUUCUGGCAUGCGCAGCAGUGUGCCUGCCGCCUGAGACUUGCCCACACGCAGAAGCAAAAGCAAGGGCAACUCGUGCACAAGGCAUGUGAAGCCGACUGAAGCUGCGAAGCUUGAACUCUGGUUCUUGUGGCAGGCCUGCCCCUGCACCUGCCACCUGCUCGGGCGUGGGUGGGGACAGCUGCUUCCUGGAGCUGCCGUGCCCUACGGGAUGGAGCUGGGCCAGGAGCUGAGAAGCCACGCGCAGGGGUCAGGCAGGGACGCCGGGACCGAGCUCUCUCUAGCGUGUACCAGAAAUCCGCUUAGCGGAGCCCAGGCUGCCCGUGUCUACACAGUGAGGAACCCAGGCUCCGCGCAGGGGCGCUACUCCCCCUCAGGGCAGCCCGCGCCCUGUUUGUGCUGCCCUGGCUGUGACCAGGUUCUUUCUUUCGCUGAGCCGCACAUUUUCCUCUCUUACCUGGCCCGUUCGUCCUACGUCCUCUUACUCUAGAAUCUCAGAAAUAAGGCUAAUCCCUUUUGUUGGGAUUUUAAAGUUUAAUUUACUUGGGAAUGGCUGCCUGGGUUACUUCUAAUCUUUUAAGCUGUUGCAAGAAAGCAUGAAGCAGUGGCAAGAGAUCCACUUAGUAGAUGCAGUGGACAGAGUGCCCGCUGUGGAGGCAAGUUUUGUCUUAAGAUUUGCGGGUUCCUGCGGCCUGCCAGCGAGGCAGCUCGGCCUGCGCCUGCAGAAUGACCACCGUUACUCUCUCGGGUCUUAAAGGAAGCCGGGCCUCCAGGUGGGCAGGCGUCUGCUGUAAUAACAACAACAACCAGAAUAAUGAAAAGCCAGCUCGCUGCCCUGCUCCCUGCGCCUCCCCACUCCGGAGCGUUUGCCUGACUGGUGGAAUGGGCCCAGGACCUGCCUUUGAGGUCUCGGGUGUGACCUGGUGCUUCCAGCCCCGAGAUGCUCCGCUGGGUCCGCAGAAGGGAGUGGCUGUCCCCGCGGCCACACUGUCCCUCCGCGUGUUCCAUCCUGUGCGGCCCCUACCCGUGUUCUUCAGCAGCCGUUCCUCCCCCGGUUUUUCCUCUUCCUGCAAUGUCAUCCCUCAGCCAUGUGUGGCCACUCCACCAUUCUCUUCAUGUUUUUACAGCUUUCUAAAACAUGCCUUUAUUAUCAUUGUAAUGGGGUCUCUUGGGGGGAAAGAGAGAAAUAGGCACUGUCAGCCAGCCAACUCGAACCAGAAACAGUACAUAACAUGUAUAGUCAGUUGUACAAACUUAAAGAAAUUUGAAAAACAGAGAACAAUAAAAAUCUGUAAUUGUGUUAC